GAUGAACGCUGGCGGCGUGCCUAAUACAUGCAAGUCGAACGAGGAUUGUAGCAAUACACUCCUAGUGGCGAACGGGUGAGUAACGCGUUGGUGACCUGCCCCGAAGCGAGGGAUAACAGUUCGAAAGGACUGCUAAUACCCCAUGUGAUCACCGGUCUUAGAAUCCGGUGAUUAAACGGAGUAAUCCGCUUUGGGAGGGGCCUGCGUCCCAUCAGCUAGUUGGUAGGGUAACGGCCUACCAAGGCGAAGACGGGUAGGGGACCUUAGAGGGUGACCCCCCACAAUGGAACUGAAACACGGUCCAUACACCUACGGGUGGCUG
Molecule: ribosomal RNA, 322 nt
Filed under: uncultured Chloroflexota bacterium
Lineage: Bacteria; Bacillati; Chloroflexota
Description: bacterial SSU rRNA
Rfam family: Bacterial small subunit ribosomal RNA
Source: RNAcentral